RNAcentral lists this ribosomal RNA (994 nucleotides) under uncultured Gammaproteobacteria bacterium. RNAcentral's name for it is "bacterial LSU rRNA". It matches the Rfam family "Bacterial large subunit ribosomal RNA", at positions 1935 to 2925 of the family's 2925-position model. Lineage: Bacteria; Pseudomonadati; Pseudomonadota; Gammaproteobacteria. The record is from RNAcentral.
CGUAACUAUAACGGUCCUAAGGUAGCGAAAUUCCUUGUCGGGUAAGUUCCGACCUGCACGAAUGGCGUAACGAUGGCCACACUGUCUCCACCCGAGACUCAGUGAAAUUGAAAUCGCUGUUAAGAUGCAGUGUACCCGCGGCUAGACGGAAAGACCCCGUGAACCUUUACUAUAGCUUCACACUGGACUCUGACCUUAUUUGUGUAGGAUAGCUGGGAGGCUUUGAAGCGGUGGCGCCAGCCAUCGUGGAGCCGUCCUUGAAAUACCAGCCUGGUAAUGUUGGGGUUCUAACCCAGGUCCCUUAUCGGGAUCGGGGACAGUGUGUGGUGGGUAGUUUGACUGGGGCGGUCUCCUCCCAAAGAGUAACGGAGGAGCACGAAGGUGCGCUAAUCACGGUCGGAAAUCGUGAGGUUAGUGUAAAGGCACAAGCGCGCUUGACUGCGAGUCUGACAAGACGAGCAGGUACGAAAGUAGGUCUUAGUGAUCCGGUGGUUCUGAAUGGAAGGGCCAUCGCUCAACGGAUAAAAGGUACUCCGGGGAUAACAGGCUGAUACCGCCCAAGAGUUCACAUCGACGGCGGUGUUUGGCACCUCGAUGUCGGCUCAUCACAUCCUGGGGCUGAAGCCGGUCCCAAGGGUAUGGCUGUUCGCCAUUUAAAGUGGUACGCGAGCUGGGUUUAGAACGUCGUGAGACAGUUCGGUCCCUAUCUGCCGUGGGCGUUGGAGAAUUGAGGGAAGCUGCUCCUAGUACGAGAGGACCGGAGUGGACGAACCUCUGGUGUUCGGGUUGUCACGCCAGUGGCAUUGCCCGGUAGCUACGUUCGGACAGGAUAACCGCUGAAAGCAUCUAAGCGGGAAGCCCCUCCCAAGAUAAGUUCUCCCUGACCCCUUGAGGGUCCUGAAGGGCCGUCCGAGACCAGGACGUUGAUAGGCUGGGUGUGUAAGCGUUGUAAGGCGUUGAGCUAACCAGUACUAAUUGCCCGUGAGGCUUGACC